RNAcentral lists this ribosomal RNA (747 nucleotides) under Bacillus siamensis. RNAcentral's name for it is "bacterial SSU rRNA". It matches the Rfam family "Bacterial small subunit ribosomal RNA", at positions 184 to 915 of the family's 1533-position model. The record is from RNAcentral. Lineage: Bacteria; Bacillati; Bacillota; Bacilli; Caryophanales; Bacillaceae.
AACCGCAUGGUUCAGACAUAAAAGGUGGCUUCGGCUACCACUUACAGAUGGACCCGCGGCGCAUUAGCUAGUUGGUGAGGUAACGGCUCACCAAGGCGACGAUGCGUAGCCGACCUGAGAGGGUGAUCGGCCACACUGGGACUGAGACACGGCCCAGACUCCUACGGGAGGCAGCAGUAGGGAAUCUUCCGCAAUGGACGAAAGUCUGACGGAGCAACGCCGCGUGAGUGAUGAAGGUUUUCGGAUCGUAAAGCUCUGUUGUUAGGGAAGAACAAGUGCCGUUCAAAUAGGGCGGCACCUUGACGGUACCUAACCAGAAAGCCACGGCUAACUACGUGCCAGCAGCCGCGGUAAUACGUAGGUGGCAAGCGUUGUCCGGAAUUAUUGGGCGUAAAGGGCUCGCAGGCGGUUUCUUAAGUCUGAUGUGAAAGCCCCCGGCUCAACCGGGGAGGGUCAUUGGAAACUGGGGAACUUGAGUGCAGAAGAGGAGAGUGGAAUUCCACGUGUAGCGGUGAAAUGCGUAGAGAUGUGGAGGAACACCAGUGGCGAAGGCGACUCUCUGGUCUGUAACUGACGCUGAGGAGCGAAAGCGUGGGGAGCGAACAGGAUUAGAUACCCUGGUAGUCCACGCCGUAAACGAUGAGUGCUAAGUGUUAGGGGGUUUCCGCCCCUUAGUGCUGCAGCUAACGCAUUAAGCACUCCGCCUGGGGAGUACGGUCGCAAGACUGAAACUCAGAGGAAUUGUUU